AUGGCAGGUGAAAAAGUUGAGAAGCCGGAUACUAAGGAGAAGAAGCCUGAAGGCAAGAAGGCUGACACUAGUGGCAAGGUGAAAAGGGGUAACUUCAAGGCUAAAAAUCCAAAGGCCGAAAUCCUGUCAAUUGUCAGAAGAAUUGGCAGAUAUGCCUGAUCUGCUAUGUAUUCUAGGAAAGACAUGCAUAAAAGGAAAUACUCACCCAAUGAAUCCAAGAUUGAAAACAGAAAGAGGUUCUUGCAGCCAUUAGAAAAUCAGUUGGCGGUGACAAGAACAGUGGUACCCAGGUGAUUAAACUUCACAAAUUGCCUUGAUAUUAUCUUAGGGAAGACGUGCCUUGAAAGCUGUUGAGCCACAGCAAAUAACUGCAAGCCAGUUAGCAUGUGAGAAAACUGCAAGCCAGCUCCCAGGAGCACUCUGAUCAUCCUCACUGGCCGCCACAGAGGCAAGAAGGUGAUUUUCCUGAAGCAGGUGGGCAUUGGCUUGUUACCUGUAACUGGAUCUCUGGUCCUCAGUCGAGUUCCUCUACGAGGAACACACCAGAAAUCUGCCAUCGCCACCUCCACAAAAAUUGCUCUCAGCAAUAUGAAAUCCUCAAACAUCAUACUGAUGCUUACUUUAAGAAGCAGCAGCUGUGGAAGCCCAGCCAUCAGGAAGGUGGGGUUUUCAACACCAAAAAAGAGACAUAUGAAAUUACAGAGUAGUGUAAGGUUGAUCAGGAAGCUGUGGACCUGCAAAUGUUACCAACAAUCAAAGCUAUUCCUCAGUUCCAGGGCUACCUGCAAUCUGUGUUUGCCCUGAUGAAUGGAAUUUACCCUCACAAAUGGGUGUCCUAA
RNAcentral lists this long non-coding RNA (839 nucleotides) under Homo sapiens (human). RNAcentral's name for it is "non-protein coding lnc-RPE-7:1". The record is from RNAcentral. Lineage: Eukaryota; Metazoa; Chordata; Mammalia; Primates; Hominidae.